GGAUGGACACCGAAAAGUUAUCCAUUUCGGCGUAUUUUGUUUAAAAGAAAUCCAGUCUGUUGCAGUGGCAGUCAAAAAGAAUAAUUCAAUUGUAAACAAAGAACAGAUGUUUCACUACAGAGAAACUUUCGCCACAAUUGGCAAAUAAAACGAGCUUUACUUAUGACUACAGUUGAUGACACGAUAAUGACACUUGACGGCUGUGACAUUACACGAUUAGGGCUGUAAGAUAAGUUAAAUGUACAAAUUCGCUAUCCAAGUUCUCCUUCUUUAAAUUUAUUUGACUCUGUUUACUGGGCAAUCUCAAUUUGGCUUGAGGUGAAAAUGUUAUUCACCAAUUUUGUUAGUUAUUGACAAUUUCCACGCUGAUUCGUUGCUGUCAGCUGUCGCUUUCGCUGCUGCGUAGUUUGUGGAGCGAGCCUAGCGCGGCAGAGUUGUCAAUUGUUCGAAAAGCUUUCAAGUGGUUGGUUAUGGUGCAAAAUUUGAUGCAGUGCCAAGCGUAUAUGAAUGUCCGCUUAAUGACAAAGUGACUCGAAAGAGAUAAGGUCUUUGGAGCCAAAAGUAAAAUCGGUGCAUAGUGCGAACGCUGCAUGAAAAA
This is a long non-coding RNA of Rhagoletis zephyria (snowberry fruit fly), 598 nucleotides long. RefSeq lists it as uncharacterized. Lineage: Eukaryota; Metazoa; Arthropoda; Insecta; Diptera; Tephritidae. The record is from RefSeq and is a predicted model, not a curated record.